RNAcentral lists this ribosomal RNA (467 nucleotides) under uncultured bacterium. Its description in RNAcentral is "partial 16S ribosomal RNA". It matches the Rfam family "Bacterial small subunit ribosomal RNA", at positions 28 to 507 of the family's 1533-position model. The record is from RNAcentral.
GACGAACGCUGGCGGCGUGCUUAACACAUGCAAGUCGAACGGAAAGGCCCUGCUUUUGUGGGGUGCUCGAGUGGCGAACGGGUGAGUAACACGUGAGUAACCUGCCCUUGACUUUGGGAUAACUUCAGGAAACUGGGGCUAAUACCGGAUAGGAGCUCCUGCUGCAUGGUGGGGGUUGGAAAGUUUCGGCGGUUGGGGAUGGACUCGCGGCUUAUCAGCUUGUUGGUGGGGUAGUGGCGUACCAAGGCUUUGACGGGUAGCCGGCCUGAGAGGGUGACCGGCCACAUUGGGCCUGAGAUACGGCCCGGACUCCUACGGGAGGCAGCAGUGGGGAAUAUUGCACAAUGGGCGGAAGCCUGAUGCAGCAACGCCGCGUGCGGGAUGACGGCCUUCGGGUUGUAAACCGCUUUCGCCUGUGACGAAGCGUGAGUGACGGUAUGGGUAAAGAAGCACCGGCUAACUACGUG